Molecule: ribosomal RNA, 521 nt
Filed under: uncultured bacterium
Lineage: Bacteria
Description: partial 16S ribosomal RNA
Source: RNAcentral
ACUGACAGCCAUGGUUACCGCGGCUGCUGGCACGGAGUUAGCCGGUGCUUCUUCUGCGAGUAACGUCACAGAUGUAAGGUAUUAACUUACACCCUUUCCUCCUCGCUGAAAGUGCUUUACAACCCGAAGGCCUUCUUCACACACGCGGCAUGGCUGCAUCAGGGUUUCCCCCAUUGUGCAAUAUUCCCCACUGCUGCCUCCCGUAGGAGUCUGGGCCGUGUCUCAGUCCCAGUGUGGCUGAUCAUCCUCUCAGACCAGCUAGGGAUCGUCGCCUAGGUGAGCCUUUACCUCACCUACUAGCUAAUCCCACCUGGGCUUAUCCAUCAGCGCAAGGCCCGAAGGUCCCCUCUUUCCCCCGUAGGGCGUAUGCGGUAUUAGCAGUCGUUUCCAACUGUUAUCCCCCACAAAUGGGCAAAUUCCCAGGCAUUACUCACCCGUCCGCCGCUCGUCAUCUUCAAAAGCAAGCUUUUGAAAUGUUACCGCUCGACUUGCAUGUGUUAGGCCUGCCGCCAGCGUUCAAU